Long non-coding RNA from Planococcus citri (citrus mealybug), 1468 nucleotides. RefSeq lists it as uncharacterized. NCBI's taxonomy places the organism in Eukaryota, Metazoa, Arthropoda, Insecta, Hemiptera, Pseudococcidae. The record is from RefSeq and is a predicted model, not a curated record. The transcript is spliced from 2 exons.
CAAAUUUCUGUACCAGUUUCAUAAUCGUCGUGCAUAUUGAAUAGUCGAACAAAUCUAUCAAUUAAAGUGAAAAAAAUUGUUUGGUUUUUCGAAAAGAAAAAAGUUUCAUAAAUUAAAAUUUGCACAAAAGGAUGAAUGAGUACGCCAGCAGGUUCGCGUACUUAGCACAAAUCGAAACCAUAGAAAAUGAAACUCUACUGAGGCUUUGCAUAUCUUCGUUUAUCGGCCUACUGAUCAUGCGGUUGUACAAAUUUUUCAACACCAAAACGCCCGGGCUAAGUUGGUUGACAACGAACUUCAUUUCUGGCUGUUUUAUCACUCUUUCGUUAUGCGUUUCUGCUCGAUUAUCGCAGAUUGCGAGCGAAAUGAAAUCAGCGGAUUUCCACUGGUUUAUCUUGCCCUUUUAUAUAAACGGUAUGGUGACAUUGACGUUCCUCAAGUUCGCUGCUGCUUUGGAAAGAACUUCGUGCUUUUCCAACAUUGGUUUCUGUGUUCGAGAAAAUUUCUCGAUUUUCCGAAACACAAAUUUCAUAACUUAUUGUAUUGUUCCCAGUUAUUCUCUAAUUUUUUACUAUUUUAAGGAUGAAAUAGAGAUCAUCAAUUACAUCGAUCCAUUCACAAUCAUGAAAAUUAUUCGAAUCGCUUGUUUACUAUUAACGACCAUCGCGCAAAUACGUUCAACGACCACGUAUUUCGAAGAUUUGGCAUUUUGUGCGAUUGUAAAUUUUAUAACAAACCUUGCCGAAGGUUUAGCCGUAUGGUUUCUUUUAGAAAGUACUCGUAAACAUACAAGUACAAUUACAUGCACAUGCACAGCUACGACUUUAUCGUAUCAGCAGUAGCAUAGUUUAUGAAAUCUCACCCUUAUUCGAUUUUUGUCAACACUGAACGCGAUGAGAAAAAAAAUUCGUUUUGUUAUAAACAAAAUUUAAUUAAUUUUUUUUUUUUUUAAAUCUUCACGUCAACGUAACGAAAAUGGUUUCAAAUAAGUAUUUAAUAUUUUCGAAGUACUAAUUUUUUAAAAUGAAGUUGGUAUUUCAUAAAUUUUGUAAAGUUGUGUCAGCAAUUAAUCACUCCCCGAUUGAGUAAAAUUUCGCUUAUAGACGCUGAUAAAUUCGACGGCGACAAUUUGAGACUAAACGCUUAGUAUUUCGCUCAUAACUGUGCGAAUAAUUUCGCGUACAAUAUCGCACCUGCGCGAACGCCCAUCAGAUUAUAGCGUUUGCACAUGUGCGCGAAGUAAUCAGCGAAAUUUCUGGCGUUUUGUCCCGAAUCGUUGCAAAUUGAAGCUGGACAUUUUUUUCCUUUUUUUUGUACCUAUGUUCUUUCUUAUCAUGACCAACAUUCCUGCAUAGUUCCUGGAUACUUUGUAAUAAUACUCGUAUGUGAUACCUAUAUAAUGAUAAGGCAUAGAUAAUUCUGACUGUACAUUUAUUUAAGAAAUAAAUUCAACAUAAUACGUCUUGUA